GAUGAACGCUAGCGGCAGGCCUAACACAUGCAAGUCGAGGGGUAUAGUAGCAAUACUAGAGACCGGCGCACGGGUGCGUAACGCGUAUGCAACUUACCUUUAACUGGGGGAUAGCUCGAAGAAAUUCGGAUUAAUACCGCAUAACAUUUAGUAUCGGCAUCGAUAUUAAAUUAAAACUCCGGUGGUUAAAGAUAGGCAUGCGUGCCAUUAGCUAGUUGGUGAGGUAACGGCUCACCAAGGCUACGAUGGCUAGGGGGUCUGAGAGGAUGAUCCCCCACACUGGUACUGAGACACGGACGAGACUCCUACGGGAGGCAGCAGUGAGGAAUAUUGGUCAAUGGAGGCAACUCUGAACCAGCCAUGCCGCGUGAAGGAUGACUGCCCUAAGGGUUGUAAACUUCUUUUGUAUGGGGCGAAAUACCGUUCGUGAACGGGGCUGACAGUACCAUACGAAUAAGCAUCGGCUAACUCCGUGCCAGCAGCCGCGGUAAUACGGAGGAUGCAAGCGUUAUCCGGAUUUAUUGGGUUUAAAGGGUGCGUAGGCGGGAUUGUAAGUCAGUGGUGAAAGCCUGCAGCUUAACUGUAGAAUUGCCAUUGAUACUGCAGUCCUUGAGUCCAGUUGAGGUGGGCGGAAUGUGUAGUGUAGCGGUGAAAUGCUUAGAUAUUACACAGAACACCAAUUGCGUAGGCAGCUCACUAAACUGGUACUGACGCUGAGGCACGAAAGCGUGGGGAUCAAACAGGAUUAGAUACCCUGGUAGUCCACGCCGUAAACGAUGAUCACUCGCUGUUGGCGGUACACAGUCAGCGGCUAAGCAAAAGCAUUAAGUGAUCCACCUGGGGAGUACGUCGGCAACGAUGAAACUCAAAGGAAUUGACGGGGGCCCGCACAAGCGGAGGAACAUGUGGUUUAAUUCGAUGAUACGCGAGGAACCUUACCUGGGCUCGAACGCAGAGCGACGGUAGUAGAAAUAUUACUUCCCUUCGGGGUGGUCUGCGAGGUGCUGCAUGGUUGUCGUCAGCUCGUGCCGUGAAGUGUCGGAUUAGGUUCCAUAACGAGCGCAACCCUUAUCAUUAGUUGCCAACGGGUCAUGCCGGGGACUCUAAUGAAACUGCCGGUGUAAACCGUGAGGAAGGUGGGGAUGACGUCAAAUCAGCACGGCCCUUACGUCCAGGGCCACACACGUGUUACAAUGGCCAGUACAAAGGGCAGCUACUUCGCGAGAAGAUGCUAAUCUCUAAAACUGGUCUCAGUUCGGAUUGGAGUCUGCAACUCGACUCCAUGAAGCUGGAUUCGCUAGUAAUCGCGCAUCAGCCAUGGCGCGGUGAAUACGUUCCCGGGCCUUGUACACACCGCCCGUCAAGCCAUGGGAGCCGGGGGUACCUAAAGUCCGUAACCGCAAGGAGCGGCCUAGGGUAAAACUGGUGACUGGGGC
RNAcentral lists this ribosomal RNA (1436 nucleotides) under uncultured bacterium. RNAcentral describes it as "16S ribosomal RNA". It matches the Rfam family "Bacterial small subunit ribosomal RNA". The record is from RNAcentral.